This 309-nucleotide ribosomal RNA is filed under the name Triticum aestivum (bread wheat). RNAcentral's name for it is "partial small subunit ribosomal RNA". Lineage: Eukaryota; Viridiplantae; Streptophyta; Magnoliopsida; Poales; Poaceae. The record is from RNAcentral.
AUGUACGGUGCGACGGGACAACUCCGGCGGCUGGACCGCACCGCACGCCACCGCAUCCAUUUCGUGUGCUGCGCUGCAUGGCCAGCGUGUCCGAUGUCGACGAACCGUCUCGCGAUACACAAGUCAACAGGACUAGAAAAUGCCAAUGCCGGACGAAUUUCGGGUCGCCUGCCGCAUGUGCGUUUCUUUUCGUUGGUUCUCCUCUGUUUUUUCCCCUCCAGGCCAGAUUAUAUUCUCUGUUUUUCUUGCUUCUUUUUCCUCUGCUGUCUUGUCCUUUUUCUAUCGAGGCAAAUUAUUUUCACUGUUUAA